Molecule: ribosomal RNA, 578 nt
Filed under: Irpex laceratus
Lineage: Eukaryota; Fungi; Basidiomycota; Agaricomycetes; Polyporales; Irpicaceae
Description: LSU rRNA
Rfam family: Eukaryotic large subunit ribosomal RNA
Source: RNAcentral
ACUAACAAGGAUUCCCCUAGUAACUGCGAGUGAAGCGGGAAAAGCUCAAAUUUAAAAUCUGGCGGCUUUGGUCGUCCGAGUUGUAUCCUAGAGAAGUGUUUUCCGCGUUGGACCGUGUAUAAGUCUCUUGGAACAGAGCGUCAUAGAGGGUGAGAAUCCCGUCUUUGACACGGACUACCAAUGCUUUGUGAUACACUCUCAAAGAGUCGAGUUGUUUGGGAAUGCAGCUCAAAAUGGGUGGUAAAUUCCAUCUAAAGCUAAAUAUUGGCGAGAGACCGAUAGCGAACAAGUACCGUGAGGGAAAGAUGAAAAGCACUUUGGAAAGAGAGUUAAACAGUACGUGAAAUUGCUGAAAGGGAAACGAUUGAAGUCAGUCGCGUUAGCUAGAACUCAACCAGGCUUGCUUGGCGUAUUUUCUAGUUAACGGGCCAGCAUCAGUUUUGACCGCAGGAAAAAGGCCAGAGAAAUGUGGCACCCUCGGGUGUGUUAUAGUCUUUGGUCAUAUACUGCGAUUGGGACUGAGGUUCGCAGCACGCGCAAGCUGUGCUUAGGAUGCUGGCGUAAUGGCUUUAAACGAC